AAUGAACGCUGGCGGCGCGCCUAAUACAUGCAAGUCGAGCGAGAAGACGUAGCAAUACGUUUGUAAAGCGGCGAACGGGUGAGGAAUACAUGGGUAACCUACCCUCGAGUGGGGAAGUAACUAGCCGAAAGGUUAGCUAAUACCGCGUACGCUUCUUGGACUUCGGUUCAGGGAGGAAAGCGAUGCCGAGGGUAUCGCGCUCUUGGAUGGGCUCAUGUCCUAUCAGCUUGUUGGGAGGUAACGGCUCACCAAGGCUUCGACGGGUAGCUGGUCUGAGAGGACGAUCAGCCACACUGGCACUGCGACACGGGCCAGACUCCUACGGGAGGCAGCAGUAAGGAAUAUUGCGCAAUGGGCGAAAGCCUGACGCAGCGACGCCGCGGUGGGGGAGUGAAGGUCG
Molecule: ribosomal RNA, 400 nt
Filed under: uncultured bacterium
Lineage: Bacteria
Description: bacterial SSU rRNA
Rfam family: Bacterial small subunit ribosomal RNA
Source: RNAcentral